Molecule: ribosomal RNA, 492 nt
Filed under: uncultured bacterium
Lineage: Bacteria
Description: partial 16S ribosomal RNA
Rfam family: Bacterial small subunit ribosomal RNA
Source: RNAcentral
AGUGAACGCUGGCGGUAGGCCUAACACAUGCAAGUCGAACGGCAGCACAGUAAGAGCUUGCUCUUACGGGUGGCGAGUGGCGGACGGGUGAGGAAUACAUCGGAAUCUACUUUUUCGUGGGGGAUAACGUAGGGAAACUUACGCUAAUACCGCAUACGACCUACGGGUGAAAGCAGGGGAUCUUCGGACCUUGCGCGAUUGAAUGAGCCGAUGUCGGAUUAGCUAGUUGGCGGGGUAAAGGCCCACCAAGGCGACGAUCCGUAGCUGGUCUGAGAGGAUGAUCACCCACACUGGAGCUGAGACACGGUCCAGACUCCUACGGGAGGCAGCAGUGGGGAAUAUUGGACAAUGGGCGCAAGCCUGAUCCAGCCAUACCGCGUGGGUGAAGAAGGCCUUCGGGUUGUAAAGCCCUUUUGUUGGGAAAGAAAAGCAGCAGGUUAAUACCCCGCUGUUCUGACGGUACCCAAAGAAUAAGCACCGGCUAACUUCGUG